Zonotrichia leucophrys gambelii is the source of this 860-nucleotide long non-coding RNA. RefSeq lists it as uncharacterized. The record is from RefSeq and is a predicted model, not a curated record. The transcript has 3 exons. NCBI's taxonomy places the organism in Eukaryota, Metazoa, Chordata, Aves, Passeriformes, Passerellidae.
AAGUAAAUAACAAUUCCUGGCACACAAGGAGAGCCUGAAGUUGCACAGAUGGCUACGUUUGAGCCCACAAGCACAUGGAAAUAAUAUCAAAGUCUUCAGUUUGUUUUAUGUGUUAGUAGAUUAGAAAACAUUCAAACUACAUUUGGAGGAAGAACAGACACAACAUGAAGCACAACAUGAAUCAGUUAUAAAGUUGCAUUUUGGAACAUCUUUUGGGACGCCAACAGGAAAAGCAGCUCCCAAGACAGUGUGUCUUGGAUGACAUUGCCAUAUUCCUUUCCAAUAGCAGCAAGCCAGCCUCAGCAACACUGCCAGAUGUGCCCACAGGGAUAUGGGCUGAGAUUUGAACCAGCUGCAGAGCAAGGAGCAUCUCUGGUUGCUCCACACCUGCCUUCCUGAGGAUCCUGAGGAUCUCAGGUGUUAGAAGGACCAUAGCAGUGGAACAACUGACAUCUUGCUACCUCAAAAUCAGCUUUUUGGACACAACUGGAGUGGAAGCCAAGAAAACUCUUCAUGAAAUAGUUAUCUGUGAAGAUGCAGACAAAUAGCUCCUAGCAGGGAUGAAUUGCUAUUAGGCAGCAAAACAGGAGUUUUACAAUUCAUGAAUAUUUCCUUUGCAUUUUUUUCUUUAGGAGGUACCCAAGGCAGCCUAACAACCACUUCAGAAGGAAAAAAUAAAAAUGGCUAAUUCUAGAAGUUGAGGUUUUUAUACACACUGAGAGAGAAAUUCUGGCAUGUUAAAGGCAUGCAUUACUGUGCUGUACUGGGAGAAGAGCUGGGUGCAUGCUGGAUGGAUUGUGCAUAAAGGUUGAGGCUGUUUAACUGAAAUUAAUAAUGCAUAUAGAAAAAAUGACUGGAAA